This 253-nucleotide ribosomal RNA is filed under the name uncultured bacterium. RNAcentral describes it as "partial 16S ribosomal RNA". It matches the Rfam family "Bacterial small subunit ribosomal RNA", at positions 524 to 776 of the family's 1533-position model. The record is from RNAcentral.
UACGAAGGGGGCUAGCGUUGCUCGGAAUCACUGGGCGUAAAGCGCACGUAGGCGGCAUCUUAAGUCGGUGGUGAAAUCCUGGAGCUCAACUCCAGAACUGCCUCCGAUACUGAGGUGCUUGGGUCCGGGAGAGGUGAGUGGAACUGCGAGUGUAGAGGUGAAAUUCGUAGAUAUUCGCAAGAACACCAGUGGCGAAGGCGGCUCACUGGCCCGGUACUGACGCUGAGGUGCGAAAGCGUGGGGAGCAAACAGG